CCUACGGGGUGCAGCAGUGGGGAAUUUUGGACAAUGGGCGCAAGCCUGAUCCAGCUAUUCCGCGUGUGGGAAGACGGCCUUCGGGUUGUAAACCACUUUUGUAGAGAACGAAAAGUCUGUUGAUAAUACCGAUAGAUGAUGACGGUACUCUAAGAAUAAGCACCGGCUAACUACGUGCCAGCAGCCGCGGUAAUACGUAGGGUGCGAGCGUUAAUCGGAAUUACUGGGCGUAAAGGGUGUGCAGGCGGUUUUGCAAGAUGGAUGUGAAAGCCCCGGGCUUAACCUGGGAAAGACAUACAGGACUGCAAGACUAGAGUGCGUCAGAGGGGGGUGGAAUUCCAAGUGUAGCAGUGAAAUGCGUAGAUAUUUGGAAGAACACCGAUGGCGAAGGCAGCCCCCUGGGACGCAACUGACGCUCAUACACGAAAGCGUGGGGAGCAAACAGGAUUAGAUACCCCAGUAGUC
RNAcentral lists this ribosomal RNA (465 nucleotides) under uncultured bacterium. Its description in RNAcentral is "partial 16S ribosomal RNA". It matches the Rfam family "Bacterial small subunit ribosomal RNA", at positions 338 to 795 of the family's 1533-position model. The record is from RNAcentral.